AUUUAAAUAGCUUAAAUAGAGCGUAACAUUGAAGCUGUUAAAGUGAUAAAUUAUCUUUAAAUA
RNAcentral lists this transfer RNA (63 nucleotides) under Protohermes infectus. RNAcentral's name for it is "tRNA-Phe". The record is from RNAcentral. Lineage: Eukaryota; Metazoa; Arthropoda; Insecta; Megaloptera; Corydalidae.